Molecule: long non-coding RNA, 319 nt
Organism: Impatiens glandulifera
Lineage: Eukaryota; Viridiplantae; Streptophyta; Magnoliopsida; Ericales; Balsaminaceae
Exons: 3
Source: RefSeq, a predicted model, not a curated record
UACAUGUUCUUUCAUUCUUCAAUUAUUUUGCUGAUUUUUCAUCCCUUUUCUUUGUUUUAGAUUUUGGAUGUUGAACAAGUUCCUAAAUUAAUACUCUAUCAUUCUUGAAGAUGGAAGCAUUCAUGUAGAUGGACAAGGCUAAAUAGAUUUGCUGGAAAUUUAAAGCAAGCUCCAGAAAGUGAUGUCUGCAUUGAGCGAUCAGUUAGAGAUAAUUUAUCUCUUAUGUCAAUCCUUAACAAGCAUCCAAUUGAAUCUGCCCUUCCUAUAUUGUCGAGGCCCAUUAUGUGACUAGAUGCAAAUAAAGAUGCUGUGAUUGGGG